RNAcentral lists this long non-coding RNA (1047 nucleotides) under Anser cygnoides (Swan goose). Its description in RNAcentral is "lncRNA (ENSACDG00005004852.1)". Lineage: Eukaryota; Metazoa; Chordata; Aves; Anseriformes; Anatidae. The record is from RNAcentral.
AUGCCCCCAUAUCCUGUGCCCCGUACCUGCAGCUUGCCCCGCAUGGCGCAGCUCCCUCUGUCCCGCGUCUCCCAAGUGAGAUGCUGCUGGCGAGACGGGGGUGGGCAGCAGGGACCCCCACCAAGACCCAGGCGACCCCAGGAAUGGUGCUCCCGUCCCCCUUACCCGCUCAGGGUACAGCACCCGCUUGUCCUGCCCCAGGUCGAAGGCAUAGAUGUGGUCCCUGGGGGGGCACAGUGUGAACAGAAGGGGCGCGGGGACGUGCAAGGGGGCAUGGGGACGUGCAGAGCACCAGCAAGGGCAGGCGGAUGGAGGAGGGAACACAGGGUGCCCAUGCCCACCACGUACAAGUGGUGCCCAAGCGUGCAGAAACGGACACGCACAAGCGUGCCUAAGCACGCAGCGGUUUGCACAGGCCAGGACAAGCACGUACAAAUAUACGCCAGCGAGCCCGAGCCUGCACAAGCACAGGCAACUUUGCACAAGCAUGGAGAAGUAUGGACAUGCGAGGACACGCGUGCGCAAGCGUGCAGAAGCAAACAGGUCCCCAGAAGCAUGCACCAGCACAAACAAGCAUGCACAAGAACAUCCAAGUGUGCACAAGUGUGCACAAGUGUGCACAGCCACGGAGAAGGACACGCAGGCACAGAGAGGGGUGCACAAGCGCGCUCACCGUGCGGCGACGAAGAGGGUGCCGUUGAGGCGCAGCAUGCGCUGGAAGUCGAGGCCGAGCUGGGUGGUGACGUUGUCCCCCCGGAGACCCCCGAAGCGGGGGUAGGUGGCGGUGGCUGGGGGACGUGGGAACACGGUGACGAUGCCCCUGGCUGGCCCCGUGCCCCCAGCCCCGGCCCCCGCUCACCUGCCAGCCCCACGGUGCUGCGCGGCACCAGGUCCCGCGGGAAGGACUGCGCCACUCCCCUGGGGGCCCCGGGGACCACGAUGAGGACGAGGACGAAGGCCAGCAGCACCCCGAGCAUCUUCCCAGACACCCGAAGGAGACGUGGGGCUGCUAGCGAGCCCGGACCCCUCUGGGCUGCAAGGGGUUAA